UACAGUUCCUCCAAAAAGGUCUGUGUCCAUAACUGCACUGCUCUACUUUUGUAAAUAUUUCUACCUCAAUCUGAGGCCACUUCCCAACUAGCAAUCCAAACUGGAACUUUCCCAAGCUGUGUUGGUACUCUGAAGACAUCUCUGAAUACAAUGUUGUCUCCAAUAACUUUUUGUUGAACUUAAUGGACAAUCAGAAGAAGGCAAGUGGUGGACUUUCUGUAGGCUCUCAGAUCUCCUUCACUGCCUUCUCUCACGCAGCAUCACAGAUAAUGUAAUAUGCAAAUGUAGCCUCCUGUUACAAGAGUAGAAAAAUCAGACAGGCCUAUUAGAAUCAACAGCAAUAUACUGACAGUCAGAGGUUUAAGAGCACCUAACAGUUUAGCUGUAGAUUUGCCAACUGCAGUAGCAUUUUAGGUAUCAGCAGGCUUCAUUCAUUCAUUCAUUUCAGUUUGCUGACUGACAGCUUAGCAUGUCUAAGAGCUCCGCUGCCCUUUAAAGCAAAGGGGAUGUUCAACUGCAGGCUUUUCAGGGCAGCAGAGGUAAAUGAGGGAAGGAGACGUUAGGUGCCCCUCCAGCCUUGGAGUGAGUUAACCUUGGCACAGUCCUCUAAUUCAGAGAGGGUGCAGAAGGGUGCUACCCCUGGCAUCUACACUGGGGAGCCUCAGGGAUCUCCCGUAGUGUGCGUGGGCUGCAAACAGAGCAGGUGGGGCAUCUCUGGUGAACAGGCUCCAGGCAGAGCUCUCAGACAGGGGAACUGGUGCGCUACGGCCGCACCUUUCUCCCUCUGAACGCCACGUAGUUGGUAUACGGGCAGAGACUAGCACGUAGGAAUUCAGAGCCGUGGGUGUUCCCUCCCCUAAUGGGGCUGGAGCUCACCCUUGGGCAGCGCCCCUAGCUCCUCCCCACUUAGUAGCGUCGGUCCAAGCCCCUCCUUCCAUUUCCGCUGGCAGGAUCUGGAGCUGUCUCUUGACUUGCGCCUGCAGAUCUCUCAGGACUCGGCCCGACUCAGCCCGGUCCGGUCCGCUCCGGUCUAGUCUAAUGAGCAAGGAUUUGCUCUGGAACUUUUACUUUGGCAUACAUCCAGUUACCUCAAGUAGGAAAGAUCUCUGUGAAGGAUACUCACAGUAAGUUAAUCUAAUCUUUAAUGCUGCUUGCGUUAACAUUAAAGGGAGAUCAAUUUGACUAAGACCGAGCCCUUAUAAAACCUUGUUGCAAUCUGUUAAUUUCUUGGCACAAAAGAUGAGAAAGUUCAGAGUAAAAUGGUUGCUCAUGCAGUUGCAUUGAAGCACUGCCAAGUAACAAAGCAAAUGUAACGAGAGAGGACAGUAAUUCUAAUUGUCUGCUAACAUUGUUCUUCCUCUGCUUUCUUACCCGUGUCUGACAUUUGGAGGGAAAGGAACCAGGGAAGACCCUGCUAUUGGCCUGGUACAAAAUAUUAAGUCUGUGGACCACUUU
RNAcentral lists this long non-coding RNA (1455 nucleotides) under Phasianus colchicus (ring-necked pheasant). RNAcentral describes it as "lncRNA (ENSPCLG00000017227.1)". The record is from RNAcentral. Lineage: Eukaryota; Metazoa; Chordata; Aves; Galliformes; Phasianidae.